GCGGAGGUGGUGGAAUGGCAGACACGCUACUUUGAGGGGGUAGUGGGCAUUUGCUCGUGUGGGUUCAAGUCCCAUUCUCCGCACCA
RNAcentral lists this transfer RNA (86 nucleotides) under Bacteroides sp. Its description in RNAcentral is "tRNA-Leu". It matches the Rfam family "tRNA". Rfam says of the family: Transfer RNA (tRNA) molecules are approximately 80 nucleotides in length. Their secondary structure includes four short double-helical elements and three loops (D, anti-codon, and T loops). Further hydrogen bonds mediate the characteristic L-shaped molecular structure. tRNAs have two regions of fundamental functional importance: the anti-codon, which is responsible for specific mRNA codon recognition, and the 3' end, to which the tRNAs corresponding amino acid is attached (by aminoacyl-tRNA synthetases). tRNAs cope with the degeneracy of the genetic code in two manners: having more than one tRNA (with a specific anti-codon) for a particular amino acid; and 'wobble' base-pairing, i.e. permitting non-standard base-pairing at the 3rd anti-codon position. Lineage: Bacteria; Pseudomonadati; Bacteroidota; Bacteroidia; Bacteroidales; Bacteroidaceae. RNAcentral also lists the same sequence under 3 other names. The record is from RNAcentral.